CCUACGGGAGGCAGCAGUGGGGAAUAUUGCACAAUGGGGGAAACCCUGAUGCAGCGACGCCGCGUGAGCGAUGAAGGAUUUCGGUAUGUAAAGCUCUAGCAGCAGGGAAGAAAAUGACGGUACCUGACUAAGAAGCCCCGGCUAACUACGUGCCAGCAGCCGCGGUAAUACGUAGGGGGCAAGCGUUAUCCGGAUUUACUGGGUGUAAAGGGAGCGUAGACGGUCCUGCAAGCCAGAUGUGAAAGCCCGGGGCUCAACCCCGGGACUGCAUUUGGAACUGUAAGACUAGAGUGUCGGAGAGGCAGGCGGAAUUCGUGGUGUAGCGGUGAAAUGCGUAGAUAUUAGGAGGAACACUAGUGGCGAAGGCGGGCUGCUGGACGAUGACUGACGUUGAGGCUCGAAGGCGAGGGGAGCGAAAGGGAUUAGAUACCCUUGUAGUC
RNAcentral lists this ribosomal RNA (440 nucleotides) under uncultured bacterium. Its description in RNAcentral is "partial 16S ribosomal RNA". It matches the Rfam family "Bacterial small subunit ribosomal RNA", at positions 338 to 795 of the family's 1533-position model. The record is from RNAcentral.